RNAcentral lists this ribosomal RNA (397 nucleotides) under uncultured bacterium. RNAcentral describes it as "partial 16S ribosomal RNA". It matches the Rfam family "Bacterial small subunit ribosomal RNA", at positions 523 to 918 of the family's 1533-position model. The record is from RNAcentral.
AUACGUAGGUGACAAGCGUUAUCCGGAUUUACUGGGCGUAAAGGGCGUGUAGGCGGUCUUGCAAGUCAGAAGUGAAAUUCCUGAGCUCAACUCGGGCGCUGCUUCUGAAACUGCAGGACUUGAGUGCUGGAGGGGAUAGCGGAAUUCCUAGUGGAGCGGUAAAAUGCGCAGAUAUUAGGAAGAACACCGGUGGCGAAGGCGGCUAUCUGGACAGUAACUGACGCUGAGGCGCGAAAGCGUGGGGAGCAAACAGGAUUAGAUACCCUGGUAGUCCACGCUGUAAACGAUGAAUACUAGGUGUAGGGGGUAUCGACUCCCUCUGUGCCGCAGUUAACGCAUUAAGUAAUCCACCUGGGGAGUACGGCCGCAAGGUUAAAACUCAAAGGAAUUGACGGGG